ACAGAUCCAUCUUUAAAAUGAUACCAGGUUCGGAAAAAUUGAUACGUCGGAAAGGCAAGAAAAAUGCUGUUAAAGUUGUCAGUUUUAUAAUGGGACCCUAUGGGAAUCGGAAUUAGUGUAAUAUAACCUUUAAAAAGCACAUUUACUGCAAUGUCAAGGUCACAUGGAUUCGUCUGCAAGCGAGACAAGUAGAAAUGAAUUUUAAUGAAUGUUUUGAUGAUUUGGGUGCUAAAAUAGAUGAGAGAUGUCAAUAUUUUGGUCCAAAUGGAUGUUUUUGGUGGUUUUGGACUCUUCUGGAUGGGUGGGGGACCUGGUAUGGACAAGCCUGACCGUUUGUCCUUGAGCCGUAGAUGGUCAACAAUCCGCUAGCUGUCUUGCUCUGACUGGUGCACUGGACAUGAUUUCAAUAGUUAGCCAGACCAUGAUUGAGCUUAAGGAUUGUGCUGCGGAUGCAGCCUGUGCAGUUCCGGGAGAAAGUCACUGUCUUGGGCAAUGCGGUCUGGUAUCAGGUCUGGAUGAUCAUUGCCUGACUGCGGGUUUGUGUACACCUCAAUCCGACUCUGUGUCCUGAACAGAGGCCGCAGUGGUGCAGCGCUUGUGGACGUUCCAUCAACAUCCUGAAAGGUCAACACUACACCAAGCUGGGAAAAUUGAUCCUGAUAGUCAUCCCCAGGCCUGACCGUUUGUCCUUGAGCCGUAGAUGGUCAACAAUCCGCUAGCUGUCUUGCUCUGACUGGUGCACUGGACAUGAUUUCAAUAGUUAGCCAGACCAUGAUUGAGCUUAAGGAUUGUGCUGCGGAUGCAGCCUGUGCAGUUCCGGGAGAAAGUCACUGUCUUGGGCAAUGCGGUCUGGUAUCAGGUCUGGAUGAUCAUUGCCUGACUGCGGGUUUGUGUACACCUCAAUCCGACUCUGUGUCCUGAACAGAGGCCGCAGUGGUGCAGCGCUUGUGGACGUUCCAUCAACAUCCUGAAAGGUCAACACUACACCAAGCUGGGAAAAUUGAUCCUGAUAGUCAUCCCCAGGCCUGACCGUUUGUCCUUGAGCCGUAGAUGGUCAACAAUCCGCUAGCUGUCUUGCUCUGACUGGUGCACUGGACAUGAUUUCAAUAGUUAGCCAGACCAUGAUUGAGCUUAAGGAUUGUGCUGCGGAUGCAGCCUGUGCAGUUCCGGGAGAAAGUCACUGUCUUGGGCAAUGCGGUCUGGUAUCAGGUCUGGAUGAUCAUUGCCUGACUGCGGGUUUGUGUACACCUCAAUCCGACUCUGUGUCCUGAACAGAGGCCGCAGUGGUGCAGCGCUUGUGGACGUUCCAUCAACAUCCUGAAAGGUCAACACUACACCAAGCUGGGAAAAUUGAUCCUGAUAGUCAUCCCCAGGUAGUGGAAUGAAUGUACACUGAACUACAGAGGAAUCACACCCAAAUGACUUUCCUGCCACGACAUUAGUGUGGCCACUCGCGUAGGAAUUCCUUAGCAAACGUGCUCUUUUGCAUGGUGACUGUGGGCAUUUUUGCAAAACUUACGCUUUCAACACUGGAUUUUAAAGAGAAUACUUAAUCAAAUGUCGCUAACAGGACUUAUUUAUAUGAGAGAGACUAUCUGGAUGCGCAUUAAGUGUCACUUUGUGUCGUAAGCUGUUGAAGGAGCGCUUUGCGCCUUUUUAAGUGUUAAUUUUGGGUAGCCGGCUUGUAUCGGCUUGAAAGCUGCAAAUUAUGCCUCUCAUCAUAAUAGCAUUAAUUUUUGUAAUUGCAAUGUGUAUGUUUAGAUUGUAAGUGAAGCUUUUAAUAAUAAUUUUCUUAAAAAACAUGAUUUUAUAUGCUGUCAGUGAGUUUUUUAUUGAAAAAAAUGCUUAAAAUUAAAAAAAAGUCUCCUAUUUCAUCAAGACAAGUACACUGAUUCACAAUCAAUACAUUUAUUUGGGCCUUUUGCUGAUAUAUUGGUGAAUUUCGCAUGCAAUGAUACCAGUUUUUGCCAUAAAAGUUACGCGUAACAAUAAUUGGAGACACAAAAUCAGCUGUCGUCACUUAGACUAAAAAUCAUGCAUUCCGACUUGACUGCGGCCAAUUUAGUCACCGCUUUAAAUGGCCAUUUUAAGGCCUUUACCCCCCAUCCGAAUGCACUGAAAUUGCAUAUUCAUUGUGGAAAUAGUUGAAAUCUCAUGUGGAGAAAGUUUGAAAAAGAUGGGACAAAGUUGAGUUCCCUUAAAGGUUACAUUACACUAAAUCAUUGUGUAUCCCUCCGUGGUCCAUUCGAAAGUAGUGCCUAUUUCUAAAGAGUUCCUUUUCUCUUCUUGAAUAUAAGCCAUUUAACAAUGUGAGACAUGUCUUUUGUGGUUAUUUGUAAUAUCCUGUAUGUGUCUUGAGUACUUUGAUGCCUUGGAUUGGAAGCUAACUUAAAAGAUGAACUUUUGAGGGUGUGUUUUCUAUUGUGUGGGGCUUUUGUCGAAAUUAGGAUUCCGAAACGCGUUUUUCUACGGUGGGUUCAUUCGACAGCGAUUUACUUUCUUAGAAGUUGCGAGACGGUAUGUUUUUGAUUGCAAUUAUUGGAAGAUGACAGAUCCAUCUUUAAAAUGAUACCAGGUUCGGAAAAAUUGAUACGUCGGAAAGGCAAGAAAAAUGCUGUUAAAGUUGUCAGUUUUAUAAUGGGACCCUAUGGGAAUCGGAAUUAGUGUAAUAUAACCUUUAAAAAGCACAUUUACUGCAAUGUCAAGGUCACAUGGAUUCGUCUGCAAGCGAGACAAGUAGAAAUGAAUUUUAAUGAAUGUUUUGAUGAUUUGGGUGCUAAAAUAGAUGAGAGAUGUCAAUAUUUUGGUCCAAAUGGAUGUUUUUGGUGGUUUUGGACUCUUCUGGAUGGGUGGGGGACCUGGUAUGGACAAGCCUGACCGUUUGUCCUUGAGCCGUAGAUGGUCAACAAUCCGCUAGCUGUCUUGCUCUGACUGGUGCACUGGACAUGAUUUCAAUAGUUAGCCAGACCAUGAUUGAGCUUAAGGAUUGUGCUGCGGAUGCAGCCUGUGCAGUUCCGGGAGAAAGUCACUGUCUUGGGCAAUGCGGUCUGGUAUCAGGUCUGGAUGAUCAUUGCCUGACUGCGGGUUUGUGUACACCUCAAUCCGACUCUGUGUCCUGAACAGAGGCCGCAGUGGUGCAGCGCUUGUGGACGUUCCAUCAACAUCCUGAAAGGUCAACACUACACCAAGCUGGGAAAAUUGAUCCUGAUAGUCAUCCCCAGGUAGUGGAAUGAAUGUACACUGAACUACAGAGGAAUCACACCCAAAUGACUUUCCUGCCACGACAUUAGUGUGGCCACUCGCGUAGGAAUUCCUUAGCAAACGUGCUCUUUUGCAUGGUGACUGUGGGCAUUUUUGCAAAACUUACGCUUUCAACACUGGAUUUUAAAGAGAAUACUUAAUCAAAUGUCGCUAACAGGACUUAUUUAUAUGAGAGAGACUAUCUGGAUGCGCAUUAAGUGUCACUUUGUGUCGUAAGCUGUUGAAGGAGCGCUUUGCGCCUUUUUAAGUGUUAAUUUUGGGUAGCCGGCUUGUAUCGGCUUGAAAGCUGCAAAUUAUGCCUCUCAUCAUAAUAGCAUUAAUUUUUGUAAUUGCAAUGUGUAUGUUUAGAUUGUAAGUGAAGCUUUUAAUAAUAAUUUUCUUAAAAAACAUGAUUUUAUAUGCUGUCA
Long non-coding RNA from Dreissena polymorpha, 3668 nucleotides. RefSeq lists it as uncharacterized. The transcript is spliced from 13 exons. The record is from RefSeq and is a predicted model, not a curated record. NCBI's taxonomy places the organism in Eukaryota, Metazoa, Mollusca, Bivalvia, Myida, Dreissenidae.